RNAcentral lists this ribosomal RNA (1276 nucleotides) under Salmonella enterica subsp. enterica serovar Bredeney. Its description in RNAcentral is "partial 23S ribosomal RNA". It matches the Rfam family "Bacterial large subunit ribosomal RNA", at positions 911 to 2167 of the family's 2925-position model. Lineage: Bacteria; Pseudomonadati; Pseudomonadota; Gammaproteobacteria; Enterobacterales; Enterobacteriaceae. The record is from RNAcentral.
UGUUUCGGCUAGGGGGCCAUCCCGGCUUACCAACCCGAUGCAAACUGCGAAUACCGGAGAAUGUUAUCACGGGAGACACACGGCGGGUGCUAACGUCCGUCGUGAAGAGGGAAACAACCCAGACCGCCAGCUAAGGUCCCAAAGUCAUGGUUAAGUGGGAAACGAUGUGGGAAGGCCCAGACAGCCAGGAUGUUGGCUUAGAAGCAGCCAUCAUUUAAAGAAAGCGUAAUAGCUCACUGGUCGAGUCGGCCUGCGCGGAAGAUGUAACGGGGCUAAACCAUGCACCGAAGCUGCGGCAGCGACACUCAGGUGUUGUUGGGUAGGGGAGCGUUCUGUAAGCCUGCGAAGGUGGCCUGUGAGGGUUGCUGGAGGUAUCAGAAGUGCGAAUGCUGACAUAAGUAACGAUAAAGCGGGUGAAAAGCCCGCUCGCCGGAAGACCAAGGGUUCCUGUCCAACGUUAAUCGGGGCAGGGUGAGUCGACCCCUAAGGCGAGGCCGAAAGGCGUAGUCGAUGGGAAACGGGUUAAUAUUCCCGUACUUGGUGUUACUGCGAAGGGGGGACGGAGAAGGCUAUGUUGGCCGGGCGACGGUUGUCCCGGUUUAAGCGUGUAGGUGUGUGUUCCAGGUAAAUCCGGUUCACUUUAACACUGAGGCGUGACGACGAGGCACUACGGUGCUGAAGCAACAAAUGCCCUGCUUCCAGGAAAAGCCUCUAAGCAUCAGGUAACAUCAAAUCGUACCCCAAACCGACACAGGUGGUCAGGUAGAGAAUACCAAGGCGCUUGAGAGAACUCGGGUGAAGGAACUAGGCAAAAUGGUGCCGUAACUUCGGGAGAAGGCACGCUGACACGUAGGUGAAGUGAUUUACUCAUGGAGCUGAAGUCAGUCGAAGAUACCAGCUGGCUGCAACUGUUUAUUAAAAACACAGCACUGUGCAAACACGAAAGUGGACGUAUACGGUGUGACGCCUGCCCGGUGCCGGAAGGUUAAUUGAUGGGGUCAGCGCAAGCGAAGCUCCUGAUCGAAGCCCCGGUAAACGGCGGCCGUAACUAUAACGGUCCUAAGGUAGCGAAAUUCCUUGUCGGGUAAGUUCCGACCUGCACGAAUGGCGUAAUGAUGGCCAGGCUGUCUCCACCCGAGACUCAGUGAAAUUGAACUCGCUGUGAAGAUGCAGUGUACCCGCGGCAAGACGGAAAGACCCCGUGAACCUUUACUAUAGCUUGACACUGAACAUUGAGCCUUGAUGUGUAGGAUAGGUGGGAGGCUUUGAAGUGUGG